RNAcentral lists this ribosomal RNA (329 nucleotides) under Rhipicephalus sanguineus (brown dog tick). RNAcentral describes it as "partial small subunit ribosomal RNA". The record is from RNAcentral. Lineage: Eukaryota; Metazoa; Arthropoda; Arachnida; Ixodida; Ixodidae.
AGCUUAACAUUGUAAGUAAAUAAUAAUUAUGAAAGCAAAAAAUUAUGGCGGUAUUUUAAGCUUUUCAGAGGAAUUUGCUCUUUAAUGGAUAAAACACCAAAAUCUUACUUAGAUUUGUGAUUUCAAUUUGUAUACCACUAUUAAAACAAUUUAUAACUUUAAUUGUUUAAAUUUACAAAACUAAAAUAUAUUAAGUCAAGGUGCAGUAAAAAUUUAAGGAUGAAGUGAAUUACAUUACUUUUAAGUGAGAUAAGUUUAUAACAAUAUUUAGGAUUUGAAAGUAAAAUUAAAAUAGGAUGUUAAUUUGAAUUAAGCUCUAAAAUAUGUAC